AUCGAACGCUGGCGGCAGGCUUAACACAUGCAAGUCGAACGAGUGGCGGACGGGUGAGUAACGUCUGGGAAACUGCCUGAUGGAGGGGGAUAACUACUGGAAACGGUAGCUAUUACCGCAUACCAUCGGAUGUGCCCAGAUUGGAUUAGCUAGUAGGUGGGGUAAAGGCUCACCUAGGCGACGAUCCCUAGCGGGUCUGUGAGGAUGACCGGCCACACUGGAACUGAGACACGGUCCAGACUCCGACGGUAGGCAGCAGUGGGGAAUAUUGCACAAUGGGCGCAAGCCUGAUGCAGCCAUGCCGCGUGUAUGAAGAAGGCCGUCGGGUUGUAAAGUACUUUCAGCGGGGAGGCGUUACCCGCAGAAGAAGCACCGGCUAACUCCGUGCCAGCAGCCGCGGUAAUUC
This 406-nucleotide ribosomal RNA is filed under the name uncultured bacterium. Its description in RNAcentral is "partial 16S ribosomal RNA". It matches the Rfam family "Bacterial small subunit ribosomal RNA", at positions 30 to 526 of the family's 1533-position model. The record is from RNAcentral.